GCCCUGGCUCAGUGGAUAGAGCAUCAACCCUUGGACUAAAGGGUCACGGGUUCGAAUCCCGUCAAGGGCA
Molecule: transfer RNA, 70 nt
Filed under: Myotis davidii
Lineage: Eukaryota; Metazoa; Chordata; Mammalia; Chiroptera; Vespertilionidae
Rfam family: tRNA
About the family: Transfer RNA (tRNA) molecules are approximately 80 nucleotides in length. Their secondary structure includes four short double-helical elements and three loops (D, anti-codon, and T loops).
Source: Rfam by way of RNAcentral